This 339-nucleotide unclassified non-coding RNA is filed under the name Spizellomyces sp. Its description in RNAcentral is "partial internal transcribed spacer region". The stretch from base 1 to 46 matches the Rfam family "Eukaryotic small subunit ribosomal RNA", at positions 1786 to 1831 of the family's 1831-position model. Lineage: Eukaryota; Fungi; Chytridiomycota; Chytridiomycetes; Spizellomycetales; Spizellomycetaceae. The record is from RNAcentral.
AAGUCGUAACAAGGUAACCGUAGGUGAACCUGCGGUUGGAUCAUUAACAAAGAAAAGGGACUUCGUUCGUUCUUUGUAGUUUAAUUCGUUCGUUCGUUCUUGUAGUUUGGUUCGUUCGUUCGUUUUUUAAAAAUGUGUCCCCACAUUUUGUGAACUGUAAAGUCUCUGGCGGCUGGGUGUAACUAACCUUAGGGCCAUGUUGCAUCUGUCAACUUGAGAAAUCAGGUCGUGGACAAACCGCCAACCAUCUGUUUUGACUUGAUGUAUUUAUAUUUUUUAUCUAACAUUUACUUGUAUAAAUUAUACAAACAACUUUUGGCAACGGAUCUCUUGGCUCUU